RNAcentral lists this unclassified non-coding RNA (240 nucleotides) under soil metagenome. Its description in RNAcentral is "partial contains 5.8S ribosomal RNA, internal transcribed spacer 2, and large subunit ribosomal RNA". The record is from RNAcentral.
AACGAGGCCGACCUGCGGCUGAGUUACCUGCGGAGGGAUCAUUACCGAGUUUACAACUCCCAAACCCAAUGUGAACCAUACCAAACUGUUGCCUCGGCGGGGUCACGCCCCGGGUGCGUCGCAGCCCCGGAACCAGGCGCCCGCCGGAGGGACCAACCAAACUCUUUACUGUAGUCCCCUCGCGGACGUUAUUUCUUACAGCUCUGAGCAAAAAUUCAAAAUGAAUCAAAACUUUUAACA